GACGAACGCUGGCGGCGUGCUUAACACAUGCAAGUCGAACGAAGAGCGAUGGAAGCUUGCUUCUAUCAAUCUUAGUGGCGAACGGGUGAGUAACGCGUAAUCAACCUGCCCUUCAGAGGGGGACAACAGUUGGAAACGACUGCUAAUACCGCAUACGAUCUAAUCUCGGCAUCGAGGAUAGAUGAAAGGUGGCCUCUAUUUAUAAGCUAUCACUGAAGGAGGGGAUUGCGUCUGAUUAGCUAGUUGGAGGGGUAACGGCCCACCAAGGCGAUGAUCAGUAGCCGGUCUGAGAGGAUGAACGGCCACAUUGGGACUGAGACACGGCCCAGACUCCUACGGGAGGCAGCAGUGGGGAAUCUUCCGCGAUGGACGAAAGUCUGACGGAGCAACGCCGCGUGAGUGAUGACGGCCUUCGGGUUGUAAAGCUCUGUUAAUCGGGACGAAAGGCCUUCUUGCGAAUAGUUAGAAGGAUGACGGUAC
RNAcentral lists this ribosomal RNA (480 nucleotides) under Veillonella dispar. Its description in RNAcentral is "bacterial SSU rRNA". It matches the Rfam family "Bacterial small subunit ribosomal RNA", at positions 28 to 478 of the family's 1533-position model. Lineage: Bacteria; Bacillati; Bacillota; Negativicutes; Veillonellales; Veillonellaceae. The record is from RNAcentral.